AGAGUUUGAUCCUGGCUCAGGAUGAACGCUAGCGGCAGGCUUAACACAUGCAAGUCGAGGAGCAGCGGGGAGGAAGCUUGCUUUCUCCGCCGGCGACCGGCGCACGGGUGAGUAACACGUAUGCAACCUGCCCCUGUCAGGGGGACAACCCGCCGAAAGGCGGGCUAAACCCGCGUACAUGCCACCGGGGCAUCCCGGAGGCAGGAAAGGCUUCGGCCGGACAGGGAUGGGCAUGCGGCGCAUUAGGCAGUAGGCGGGGUAACGGCCCACCUAACCGACGAUGCGUAGGGGUUCUGAGAGGAAGGUCCCCCACACUGGUACUGAGACACGGACCAGACUCCUACGGGAGGCAGCAGUGAGGAAUAUUGGUCAAUGGUCGGGAGACUGAACCAGCCAAGCCGCGUGAGGGAGGAAGGUACAGAGUAUCGUAAACCUCUUUUGUCAGGGAACAAAGGCGGGGACGUGUCCCCGGAUGAGUGUACCUGAAGAAAAAGCAUCGGCUAACUCCGUGCCAGCAGCCGCGGUAAUACGGAGGAUGCGAGCGUUAUCCGGAUUUAUUGGGUUUAAAGGGUGCGCAGGCGGUCUGUUAAGUCAGCGGUCAAAGCCCGGGGCUCAACCCCGGCCCGCCGUUGAAACUGGCAGUCUCGAGUUGGAGAGAAGUAUGCGGAAUGCGCGGUGUAGCGGUGAAAUGCAUAGAUAUCGCGCAGAACUCCGAUUGCGAAGGCAGCAUGCCGGCUCCACACUGACGCUGAGGCACGAAAGCGUGGGUAUCGAACAGGAUUAGAUACCCUGGUAGUCCACGCAGUAAACGAUGAAUGCUGGGCUGUCCGGGGGGAUUGACCCCUGGGGGGGGAAGGGAAAGCGAAAAGCAUUCCACUGGGGGAGUACGCCGGCAACGGUGAAACUCAAAAGGAAUUGACGGGGGCCCGCACAAGCGGAGGAACAUGUGGUUUAAUUCGAUGAUACGCGAGGAACCUUACCCGGGCUCAAACGGGGAGUGACUCAGGCAGAGACGCCUGUUUCCCACGGGACACUCCCCGAGGUGCUGCAUGGUUGUCGUCAGCUCGUGCCGUGAGGUGUCGGCUUAAGUGCCAUAACGAGCGCAACCCCCGCGUGCAGUUGCUAACAGAUAACGCUGAGGACUCUGCACGGACUGCCGGCGCAAGCCGCGAGGAAGGCGGGGAUGACGUCAAAUCAGCACGGCCCUUACGUCCGGGGCGACACACGUGUUACAAUGGGUGGUACAGCGGGAAGCCAGGCGGCGACGCCGAGCGGAACCCGAAAUCCACUCUCAGUUCGGAUCGGAGUCUG
Molecule: ribosomal RNA, 1311 nt
Filed under: uncultured bacterium
Lineage: Bacteria
Description: bacterial SSU rRNA
Rfam family: Bacterial small subunit ribosomal RNA
Source: RNAcentral